RNAcentral lists this ribosomal RNA (357 nucleotides) under uncultured marine eukaryote. Its description in RNAcentral is "SSU rRNA". It matches the Rfam family "Eukaryotic small subunit ribosomal RNA", at positions 613 to 971 of the family's 1831-position model. The record is from RNAcentral.
UUUGCGGUUAAAAAGCUCGUAGUUGGAUCUCGGCAAGUAGAGGGCGGUAUGCUUCGUAGCAUUACUGCCCUAUUACUUGUAGUUUUGCCAGAGGUUCCUGGGUGCUCUUAAUCGAGUGUCUAGGGAUGCUGGCAGGUUUACUUUGAAAAAAUUAGAGUGCUCAAAGCAGGCUAUUACGCUUGAAUAUUCGUGCAUGGAAUAAUAGAAUAGGAAGUUGUUUCUAUUUCGUUGGUUUUCGGAAAUCGACUUAAUGAUUAAUAGGGACAGUCGGGGGCAUUUGUAUUCAAACGACAGAGGUGAAAUUCUUGGACCGUUUGAAGACAAACUACUGCGAAAGCAUUUGCCAAGAAUGUUUUC